RNAcentral lists this ribosomal RNA (440 nucleotides) under Aplanochytrium stocchinoi. RNAcentral's name for it is "partial Bacterial small subunit ribosomal RNA". It matches the Rfam family "Bacterial small subunit ribosomal RNA", at positions 319 to 776 of the family's 1533-position model. The record is from RNAcentral. Lineage: Eukaryota; Bigyra; Thraustochytrida; Thraustochytriidae.
CUGAGACACGGCCCAAACUCCUACGGGAGGCAGCAGUGGGGAAUAUUGGACAAUGGGCGCAAGCCUGAUCCAGCCAUGCCGCGUGAGUGAUGAAGGCCCUAGGGUUGUAAAGCUCUUUUGUGCGGGAAGAUAAUGACGGUACCGCAAGAAUAAGCCCCGGCUAACUUCGUGCCAGCAGCCGCGGUAAUACGAAGGGGGCUAGCGUUGCUCGGAAUCACUGGGCGUAAAGGGUGCGUAGGCGGGUCUUUAAGUCAGGGGUGAAAUCCUGGAGCUCAACUCCAGAACUGCCUUUGAUACUGAAGAUCUUGAGUUCGGGAGAGGUGAGUGGAACUGCGAGUGUAGAGGUGAAAUUCGUAGAUAUUCGCAAGAACACCAGUGGCGAAGGCGGCUCACUGGCCCGAUACUGACGCUGAGGCACGAAAGCGUGGGGAGCAAACAGG